RNAcentral lists this ribosomal RNA (253 nucleotides) under uncultured bacterium. Its description in RNAcentral is "partial 16S ribosomal RNA". It matches the Rfam family "Bacterial small subunit ribosomal RNA", at positions 524 to 776 of the family's 1533-position model. The record is from RNAcentral.
UACGUAGGUGGCAAGCGUUGUCCGGAAUUAUUGGGCGUAAAGCGCGCGCAGGUGGUUUCUUAAGUCUGAUGUGAAAGCCCACGGCUCAACCGUGGAGGGUCAUUGGAAACUGGGGAACUUGAGUGCAGGAGAGAAGAGUGGAAUUCCGCGUGUAGUGGUGAAAUGCGUAGAGAUGCGGAGGAACACCAGUGGCGAAAGCGGCUUUCUGGUCCUUAACUGACGCUGAGGCGCGAAAGCAUGGGGAGCGAACGGG